Molecule: unclassified non-coding RNA, 349 nt
Filed under: soil metagenome
Description: partial contains 5.8S ribosomal RNA, internal transcribed spacer 2, and large subunit ribosomal RNA
Rfam family: 5.8S ribosomal RNA (bases 1-120)
Source: RNAcentral
GAUGAAGAACGCAGCGAAAUGCGAUAACUAAUGUGAAUUGCAGAAUUCAGUGAAUCAUCGAGUCUUUGAACGCACAUUGCGCCCUCUGGUAUUCCGGAGGGCAUGCCUGUCCGAGCGUCAUUGCUGCCCUCAAGCCCGGCUUGUGUGUUGGGCCCCGUCCCCCCCGCCGGGGGGACGGGCCCGAAAGGCAGCGGCGGCACCGCGUCCGGUCCUCGAGCGUAUGGGGCUUCGUCACCCGCUCUAGUAGGCCCGGCCGGCGCCAGCCGACCCCCAACCUUUAAUUAUCUCAGGUUGACCUCGGAUCAGGUAGGGAUACCCGCUGAACUUAAGCAUAUCAAUAAGCGGAGGA